UCCAUUCUUAGCACCAAGAAGCUCAGGAUGC
Molecule: non-coding RNA, 31 nt
Filed under: Mus musculus (house mouse)
Lineage: Eukaryota; Metazoa; Chordata; Mammalia; Rodentia; Muridae
Source: RNAcentral